RNAcentral lists this ribosomal RNA (921 nucleotides) under Phycisphaerales bacterium. RNAcentral's name for it is "bacterial SSU rRNA". It matches the Rfam family "Bacterial small subunit ribosomal RNA", at positions 1 to 964 of the family's 1533-position model. Lineage: Bacteria; Pseudomonadati; Planctomycetota; Phycisphaerae; Phycisphaerales. The record is from RNAcentral.
UCAAGUGAAGAGUUUGAUCAUGGCUCAGAUUGAACGCUGGCGGCAUGGCUAAAACAUGCAAGUCGAACGUGCGUCGCAAGACGCAAGUGGCGAAAGGGUCAGUAAUGCGAUCGAACGUACCCUGGGGUGGAGGAUAGCGGCGGGAAACUGCCGGUAAUACUCCAUGACCUCUCCGGAGCAAAGCUUUUGCGCCCUGGGAGCGGCGAUCGUCCUAUCAGCUAGUUGGCGGGGUAAUGGCCCACCAAGGCGAAGACGGGUAGCGGGUGUGAGAGCACGACCCGCGACAUCGGAACUGAGACACUGUCCGGACUCCUACGGGAGGCUGCAGUAACGAAUCUUCCGCAAUGGGCGAAAGCCUGACGGAGCAAUGCCGCGUGUGGGAUGAAGCAUCUAUGGUGUGUAAACCACUGUCAGGGGGCGGAAACAAUGAUUGCCCCCAGAGGAAGUGGCGACUAACUCUGUGCCAGCAGUCGCGGUAAUACAGAGGCCACAAGCGUUAAUCGGAAUCACUGGGCUUAAAGGGUGCGUAGGCGGAUUUGCAAGCGUCUUGUGAAAGCCCCCGGCUCAACCGGGGAACUGCAGGGCGAACUGCAAGUCUUGAGGCAGGUAGGGGCCGCGAGAACAGUAGGUGGAGCGGUGAAAUGCGUAGAUAUCUACUGGAAUGCCGAUGGGGAAGCCGCGCGGCUGGGCCUGACCUGACGCUGAGGCACGAAAGCGUGGGGAGCAAACAGGAUUAGAUACCCUGGUAGUCCACGCCGUAAACGAUGUACGCUAGACCGGUGCGGUUUUGACGCCGUACCGGUCGUAGGAAAACUGAUAAGCGUACCGCCUGGGGAGUACGGUCGCAAGGCUAAAACUCAAAUGAAUUGACGGGGGCUCACACAAGCGGUGGAGCAUGUUGCUUAAUUCGAGGCAACGCGA